Molecule: transfer RNA, 76 nt
Filed under: Escherichia coli
Lineage: Bacteria; Pseudomonadati; Pseudomonadota; Gammaproteobacteria; Enterobacterales; Enterobacteriaceae
Description: tRNA-Thr
Source: RNAcentral
GGCAGCCACACCACCUUCCGUUACGAUGUACUCGACCGGCUGAUACAGGAAACCGGCUUUGACGGCCGCACACAGC